UCUGUAGCAAAUAAACUUACUCGAGUAUAGAGCUCUUAUAGAACCCAUCAAUAUCACACAUAUACAUUAUUUGUAUCCCAGAAAACCCACAUUGAACACCAAUUCUUGAGAACAGUUUCUCAGGUAACCACACUCUCAGAUAACCUGCACAGAUGGCAAUAAAUCUCAUCUCCUACAUGCUGAUGCAGAGUGAGGAAGAGUCUGAUAAUCUGCACUGAAUUAGUUAUAGCAUUCCAGCAACCACCCGUAGGUUCUAUGCAAAUACAUAGAGCACAAUUCAACUCAGAACCUAGUGGAAAUGGAGGCAGCCUGGAGAGAGAUAAGUGGGAGCACCAGUAAUCAUGGAGAUGUUUGUAGGACAGGAAAGAUCAUAUGUGUUUGAGUGCAAACGGCUGCAGAGCCAUAUUGAUAUGGAUGGCCAGCCUUGUUGAUGUAUUUGAGCCAUGUUCCUGUUCAUAAUCAUUCCCUCAGAGUGCAAAAUGCGGAAGACACAGGCAGGUAGCGAGUGACAAGCAUGGAAUACUGAAGGCAGUGAUUUGAUUGAAUUUAAUUUUGAAAUUGAUUGAAAUUCAUUUGCAUAUGAAAUAUGUUUUGCAAUUUGUU
Molecule: long non-coding RNA, 603 nt
Filed under: Coturnix japonica (Japanese quail)
Lineage: Eukaryota; Metazoa; Chordata; Aves; Galliformes; Phasianidae
Description: lncRNA (ENSCJPG00005008737.1)
Source: RNAcentral